This 769-nucleotide ribosomal RNA is filed under the name Clostridioides difficile. RNAcentral describes it as "partial 23S ribosomal RNA". It matches the Rfam family "Bacterial large subunit ribosomal RNA", at positions 1918 to 2685 of the family's 2925-position model. The record is from RNAcentral. Lineage: Bacteria; Bacillati; Bacillota; Clostridia; Peptostreptococcales; Peptostreptococcaceae.
CCCCAGUAAACGGCGGCCGUAACUAUAACGGUCCUAAGGUAGCGAAAUUCCUUGUCGGGUAAGUUCCGACCCGCACGAAAGGCGUAACGAUUUGGGCACUGUCUCAACAACAGACUCGGUGAAAUUGUAAUUCCGGUGAAGAUGCCGGAUACCUGCGACAGGACGGAAAGACCCCAUGGAGCUUUACUGUAGCUUGACAUUGGGUCUUGGUACUACAUGUACAGGAUAGGUGGGAGGCUUUGAAACCAGGACGCCAGUUUUGGCGGAGCCAUCCUUGGGAUACCACCCUUGUAGUACUGGGACUCUAACCAUAGGCCAUGAAUCUGGUCUUGGGACACUGUCAGGUGGGCAGUUUGACUGGGGCGGUCGCCUCCCAAAAGGUAACGGAGGCGCUCAAAGGUUCUCUCAGUACGGUCGGAAAUCGUACGUAGAGUGUAAAGGCAAAAGAGAGCUUGAUUGCAAGACAUACAGGUCGAGCAAGGAUGAAAAUCGGACUUAGUGAUCCGGUGGUUCUGCGUGGAAGGGCCAUCGCUCAACGGAUAAAAGCUACCCUGGGGAUAACAGGCUUAUCUCCCCCAAGAGUCCACAUCGACGGGGAGGUUUGGCACCUCGAUGUCGGCUCAUCACAUCCUGGGGCUGUAGUAGGUCCCAAGGGUUGGGCUGUUCGCCCAUUAAAGUGGUACGCGAGCUGGGUUCAGAACGUCGUGAGACAGUUCGGUCCCUAUCCGUCGCAGGCGUAGGAAAUUUGAGAAGACCUGUCCUUAGUACG